Non-coding RNA from Chlorocebus sabaeus (green monkey), 358 nucleotides. The record is from RefSeq and is a predicted model, not a curated record. Lineage: Eukaryota; Metazoa; Chordata; Mammalia; Primates; Cercopithecidae.
UUAGUAGCAACUUUUUCUUCUUGUAAAAUAAUUUGCAUUUGCCAGCCAACUUGGACUUGCAAAUAUUCCAUGAAAACCCAUUGCCUUUUCCACAAGCAUUUUCUAUGCUUUACCUGGGGGCCAGUGACUUGAUUACUGUUUGAUAUGUGGUUUUCUAAUGUCAUCAUGAAUAAAAGACCUGUGCAAACGGGACCCAGCAUGAUCGACUCCUUAUGGCAUUUUCUUUCUCCUAUUGCAGAUGAACUAUACAGCCCAAAAUUCCUACUGUUCCCCUGAGGACAGCCUGAGUUUAAAAUCUCUAUCACCAAGUGAGGAAGACAAUGAUUAUGCCCAGAUUUUACCAUAUCACAUGUCCAGG